UGGGAGCUGAAACUAGGAUUCACCCCUUA
RNAcentral lists this non-coding RNA (29 nucleotides) under Homo sapiens (human). The record is from RNAcentral. Lineage: Eukaryota; Metazoa; Chordata; Mammalia; Primates; Hominidae.